UACGAAGGGGGCUAGCGUUGCUCGGAAUUACUGGGCGUAAAGAGCUCGUAGGCGGUUUGUCGCGUCUGCCGUGAAAGUCCGGGGCUUAACCCCGGAUCUGCGGUGGGUACGGGCAGACUAGAGUGCAGUAGGGGAGACUGGAAUUCCUGGUGUAGCGGUGAAAUGCGCAGAUAUCAGGAGGAACACCGAUGGCGAAGGCAGGUCUCUGGGCUGUAACUGACGCUGAGGAGCGAAAGCAUGGGGAGCGAACAGG
Molecule: ribosomal RNA, 253 nt
Filed under: uncultured bacterium
Lineage: Bacteria
Description: partial 16S ribosomal RNA
Rfam family: Bacterial small subunit ribosomal RNA
Source: RNAcentral